This 82-nucleotide transfer RNA is filed under the name Ganoderma leucocontextum. RNAcentral describes it as "tRNA-Asp". The record is from RNAcentral. Lineage: Eukaryota; Fungi; Basidiomycota; Agaricomycetes; Polyporales; Polyporaceae.
UCUCUGUUAGUAUAUCGGUUAGUACACGCGCCUGUCAUAAUUACGGCCGCGCGAAAGCGGGGUUCGACUCCCCGACAGAGAG